AAGGAUUUAAGUUAAGAAAACUAUUAACCUUCAAAGUUAAAAAUAGGUUGAAAGUCUAAGCCUUA
This 65-nucleotide transfer RNA is filed under the name Crioceris asparagi (common asparagus beetle). RNAcentral describes it as "tRNA-Trp". The record is from RNAcentral. Lineage: Eukaryota; Metazoa; Arthropoda; Insecta; Coleoptera; Chrysomelidae.